Pelobates cultripes (western spadefoot toad) is the source of this 291-nucleotide non-coding RNA. NCBI's taxonomy places the organism in Eukaryota, Metazoa, Chordata, Amphibia, Anura, Pelobatidae. The record is from the annotation of a GenBank genome assembly.
AAUUGCUCCGCAUGUGCACUAGCAUUCUAAUGCUUGGAUUGCCUGAGACCAUUAGGAUUGAUCAUCUCCACUAGUUUAGAUGAAGUGUCCACACAGAGACGGGCACACUAGGGAAAUAAAGCAUUUACAUUGUUUUAUUUCUAUUUUUUAUUUCAUUUGUGGAGGGGGUUAAAAGAAUUACUAGAAUACAUGUUUGUAUUCCUAACGCUUUAAUGUUCAUUUUAACCCCUUAAGAGGCCGUUGUUCACGUUCUGAACCAAAACAAAACCUUGAAUUUGGGCUAUAGGUUUG